Molecule: ribosomal RNA, 780 nt
Filed under: uncultured bacterium
Lineage: Bacteria
Description: bacterial SSU rRNA
Rfam family: Bacterial small subunit ribosomal RNA
Source: RNAcentral
AGAGUUUGAUCCUGGCUCAGGACGAAUGCUGGCGGCGUGCUUCAUACAUGCAAGUCGAACGAGGUCCAACUGGUAGCAAUACCAGUGAAGACCUAGUGGCGAACGGGUGAGUAACACGUGAGGAACCUGCCCCGAAGACCGGGAUAACAGCGGGAAACCGCUGCUAAUACCGGAUACCCCCACCGGAUCGCAUGGUCUGGUGAGGAAAUGGAUUCCGCUUCGGGAGGGCCUCGCGGCCUAUCAGCUUGUUGGUGGGGUAAUGGCCUACCAAGGCGACGACGGGUAGCUGGUCUGAGAGGACGAUCAGCCACACUGGGACUGAGACACGGCCCAGACUCCUACGGGAGGCAGCAGUAGGGAAUCUUGCGCAAUGGGCGAAAGCCUGACGCAGCAACGCCGCGUGAGGGAUGAAUGCCUUCGGGUUGUAAACCUCUUUCAAGCAGGGACGAUAAUGACGGUACCUGCAGAAGAAGCUCCGGCCAACUACGUGCCAGCAGCCGCGGUAAUACGUAGGGAGCGAGCGUUGUCCGGAAUCAUUGGGCGUAAAGAGCUCGUAGGCGGUUUGGUAAGUCGGAUGUGAAACCUCCAGGCUCAACCUGGAGCCGCCAUUCGAUACUGCCAUGACUAGAGUCCGGUAGGGGCCCACGGAACUCCUGGUGUAGCGGUGAAAUGCGCAGAUAUCAGGAAGAACACCGAUGGCGAAUGCAGUGGGCUGGGCCGGCWCUGACGCUGAGGAGCGAAAGCGUGGGGAGCGAACAGGAUUAGAUACCCUGGUAGUCC